This 293-nucleotide ribosomal RNA is filed under the name uncultured Rickettsiales bacterium 'Montezuma'. RNAcentral's name for it is "partial 16S ribosomal RNA". It matches the Rfam family "Bacterial small subunit ribosomal RNA", at positions 310 to 620 of the family's 1533-position model. The record is from RNAcentral. Lineage: Bacteria; Pseudomonadati; Pseudomonadota; Alphaproteobacteria; Rickettsiales.
ACACUGGAACUGAGACACGGUCCAGACUCCUACGGGAGGCAGCAGUGGGGAAUAUUGGACAAUGGGCGAAAGCCUGAUCCAGCGACGCCGCGUGAGUGAAGAAGGCCUUCGGGUUGUAAAGCUCUUUCGGUAGGGAAGAUAAUGACGGUACCUACAAAAGAAGCUCCGGCUAACUUCGUGCCAGCAGCCGCGGUAAUACGAAGGGAGCUAGCGUUACUCGGAAUUAUUGGGCGUAAAGCGUACGUAGGCGGCUUAGUAAGUUGGGAGUGAAAUCCUUGGGCUUAACCCAAGAA